GACGAACCGAGCGAACGUUGUUCGGAAUCCCUGGGCUUAAAGGGCGCGUAGGCGGGUGCUCAAGUCCGGGGUGAAAUCCUCCGGCUCAACCGGAGAACUGCCAUGGAUACUGGGUGUCUCGAGGGUGAUAGGGGUAUGCGGAACUAUCGGUGGAGCGGUGAAAUGCGUUGAUAUCGAUAGGAACUCCGGUGGCGAAGGCGGCAUACUGGAUCAUAUCUGACGCUGAGGCGCGAAAGCCAGGGGAGCAAACGGG
RNAcentral lists this ribosomal RNA (253 nucleotides) under uncultured bacterium. RNAcentral describes it as "partial 16S ribosomal RNA". It matches the Rfam family "Bacterial small subunit ribosomal RNA", at positions 524 to 776 of the family's 1533-position model. The record is from RNAcentral.